This is a long non-coding RNA of Dromaius novaehollandiae (emu), 3378 nucleotides long. RefSeq lists it as uncharacterized. The record is from RefSeq and is a predicted model, not a curated record. The transcript is spliced from 5 exons. Lineage: Eukaryota; Metazoa; Chordata; Aves; Casuariiformes; Dromaiidae.
GCGGGCGGGCCGCGGGGACUGCGGCGGCGCGGCCGUUGGGGGGCCGUUAGGGGGCCGUUGGGGGCGCGCGGAGCGUUGGGCGGGCGGCAGCGUCGGCGCUGACCCCUUCCCCGCCGGACGGCGAGAGAGGAAAAGGAGUGGGGGUGGGUUUCCCCCUUUUUUCCCCCUCCCUCCCCCCAGGAGCAGAUUUUUCUGGCCAUGUGGGUUUGAGAGGUCUGGUUUGGGGGCGUGCAGAGCAUCCGCUGAAAAUUCACGGGAGCUGAGGAGGGCGCGGAUUUGUUUGCAGCUCUGAAGGACAGAAGCUGGAUGCUUUGGCAGCGUUCCCUUUGAAUGUGGAAGAAGUCAGUGAUCCAAACAAAAUCCUCAAGAAAAAUAGAAAGAAGGAUACAAACAGAGAAAUGUGUGGUAACCUGUGGUUAACUCACUUCCUCAGAGUGUGGGAACACUGAGCUUUGAUCUGUGCUUUAUCUGACACUGAGUAGAACUUGAGUCUGCCUCUGCUUUCCAGAUUUGUAGACAAAGGCCUGUUUGGGACCUAACAGCAGGUUAAAAUGGACUUGAAAUCCCUUCACAUGAUAAGCAUCAACAGGACUAUAUGACUGCCAUGCAAAAUGAGCAUGAGGCAUUGCUGGAGGUGAAACAUAAGAGAACAACCUUGACAAACUUUGGAACAAAGUAAAAGUUAUUAUGUUCAAAACUGCCAACACACACAUUCCAUUAAGUCACAUUGGACCAUGCCAUGGUUAAAUGAGAACGUGCUGGUGCUGGCAGAAAACAGCAAAGAAACAAAAGGAGAGUGGUUUGGAAACUGAAGAACAUAGAGGAGUUUCAAAGAACAGAGAACACAGACCCAAAGACAGACUAGACAAGAGAACAGAAAAUACAUUAAGGGAAAGGGCAUAGAUCUUCAGAGUCCUAAAGCAAGUAAUUACACAAAAGCUACAGUGGUCUGAUUUCUUAUGAAACAGUCUGCCCAUAACUGAACAUUUUCAAAAUACUUCAGGAGCAUUUUGGAGAUUUCUAUUGGAGAUUUGGAGAUACUGCAGAGAUGUUGUUUUGACUGUCUCCACAGAAGUAGUCGUAAUAUAGGAGGUCAGAAAAGAAAGUAUGGAUCUGAAGGCCGGACACACAUUUCUUGAAGGAGGAAGGAAGUAUGGGGGUUGCAACCCUGCUGGUAGCAUUGCCUGAUGCGGAAUGCACACUGCUGGUUACAUGACCUGCUUGUGGCUGCUCAGUGCCCAUCAAGAGCACAGCUGGAUCCAGCCUUGUGAGCCAGCAACUUGACAGGAGAAGUGCUAUAUUCUGUCCUGAAAAGGAAGCCUGGGAAAGCACCAGGCAUAGAGAACACACCCGGAAGAUUGUUGUUAAAAGCUAUUGGCCGACAAAAUACUGAUCUCUUCUGGUCCUCUAUAGAUAGCUGUGUAGGUUUAUGGAAAUUGGCUAACUAGCUGGAUGAAAGGAAUUGCUCUCUGUGAGAAGACAGAACAGAAGAGCAGAAGAGUUGAAUAACUCUAUGAUUUCCCUGAUACUGCAUGUAAAUAAUUUCUAUUCAGGAGAGCGAACUGCAUGCAGGAUGUAGUGAGGUGAACAGUGGAACCCAGACUGUCAUCACUACAGAUGAUCAAGUGCAGGCUGUGAAAUCACAAAUGUUCACUGUGUCAUUGAAAAGUGCAGGAAGUUCUUUUGGUGGGAAGUUUUGCUAACAGCUCUGAAGUAAUCUGUGUUCAGUGUUGUCUGUGGAGAACACUGGCAGACACAAUUUCAAAGCAUGUAUCUCACUGAACUCAUUGCAAGCCUUCACUAUCAGCAGCUGGCUGUAGUUUGUACAACAGCUGGUAAUAGUGAGGGGGUAAGUUAUGAAAUUAAGAUUUAUGCUUCCUCCAGGCCUUUCCAACAUACACUCAGAGUUUAAUUUGGAAGAAGACAUGGAAGAAUUUGACAAAGUUGAGGAACCAAGCACUUUGUGACUCUUCUUUCUUAACCUAAGUUAUACCAAUGGCAUAGUAUUCUUUUGGUCAGUCACUGGUACAGUGCAACAAAUAUUGGAGUCAAUAAAAACAUAUCAAGGAAACAUCACUGAAUGUGGCAAAAACAAAGUUAAAAUGAAUUAUUCUAAAUGAAAAUAGAAGGUGAGUAACGAAUCGCUAUUAAUAGCAGAUUCAGCUAGUCUGGAAUCACAUAUAACCAGCCAAAGAGGACAUUCCAAAGAAACUGGGAAAAACUCAGAACAGCGUGUUCAACUAGUUUCUGUUACAAAAAUUAGAAUUAAAAAAAAUGGCAACUCAAAUCUGACCAAAAAGUUCGCUUUUCCCACAGGACCUUGUGAGUGUGAAUUGUGAGAAGUUAAUGUCACUGACAAGAAGAAAAUUGAAUAAUCUGAAAUGUGGUGCUGGCAAAUAUCAUUCUGUGACUUCUGGAUAGAAAAGCAGAAGAAUGCUGCUGUUAGCAACACUACUAGAAAAAGGCAGACUGUUUCCAGAAGUGAGCAGGUACAGACAUAUAAUUCGAUUAUAUCAAACACAGCAAUUGAAAUAACUAUGAAAAGCUUAUCAUACCAAGAUGCGAGAAGACAACUAGUAGAGAAGUGAAAGCAAUCCAUUUCAUAAAGGUUAGUAUUGAAAAUCUUCGUGCAGCUCACAUAGCAAUAUACUGGAGAAAGUGCAAAAAGAAAGUCUGAGUGAUACAAAAGGAAAAAUAAUCCCUUAUGAAAAAUAUAUUUGAAAUGCAGGACUGUAUUUCCAGGUACUGUAAAUAAACAUAUAUUAUCACAAUAUUGUAUCAGCAGACUCAUCUCAGGUUGGCAUGGGAGCAAGUAUCAUUCCAUAAAGAGAAGUGCACAGGAAUAAGGCACCAUCUUCAUCCUCCAGAAGUAAGCUAACAGUUCACUGAGGUAUUACAAGCCAACUCAGUUGGACUGCUGGACAGCAUGGUAAGAAGUGUUUCGCCCAAGACGUGAAUUUACAAUACUCUUCCAAAGUUAUUUUGAAACUGUUAUUAUGGGUCUGUGUUUAUAUGCUCUCAGUGGCUCCAUUUAAUUUUCUCAAAAACUGAGUAAAUAGAUUAUUAUUUUUAAACUGCUGGCUGCAAACUCCCUUUGACAUCUCAAAGGCAAGUUACAGUCUCACUCAUGCUAUGCCACCCAUGAAGAUUCUAAAUUUCAACUUCAGUAAAUUAUCUCAUGUCCAGAUCAGCUGUCCUGGCUCUGUAGCAAAGGCAGACACCAAAAAAUUAAUACUAAAAAUGCCUUGCUGGAACAUCAAUAGAUCAGAUUCUGCCUACAUACCAAGAUUUUUAAGAUACUUGCUGUAUCAGCAGUCAGUCUUUUAUCCUGACCCAGUGCUGUCUUCAGCCAGAGGGAUGCUGAUCAACUUACAAAUU